Molecule: ribosomal RNA, 468 nt
Filed under: uncultured bacterium
Lineage: Bacteria
Description: partial 16S ribosomal RNA
Rfam family: Bacterial small subunit ribosomal RNA
Source: RNAcentral
GACGAACGCUGGCGGCGUGCUUAACACAUGCAAGUCGAACGGAAAGGCCCUGCUUUUGUGGGGUGCUCGAGUGGCGAACGGGUGAGUAACACGUGAGUAACCUGCCCUUGACUUUGGGAUAACUUCAGGAAACUGGGGCUAAUACCGGAUAGGAGCUCCUGCUGCAUGGUGGGGGUUGGAAAGUUUCGGCGGUUGGGGAUGGACUCGCGGCUUAUCAGCUUGUUGGUGGGGUAGUGGCUUACCAAGGCUUUGACGGGUAGCCGGCCUGAGAGGGUGACCGGCCACAUUGGGACUGAGAUACGGCCCAGACUCCUACGGGAGGCAGCAGUGGGGAAUAUUGCACAAUGGGCGAAAGCCUGAUGCAGCAACGCCGCGUGCGGGAUGACGGCCUUCGGGUUGUAAACCGCUUUCGCCUGUGACGCAGCGUGAGUGACGGUAAUGGGUAAAGAAGCACCGGCUAACUACGUG